Molecule: small nuclear RNA, 103 nt
Organism: Suncus etruscus (white-toothed pygmy shrew)
Lineage: Eukaryota; Metazoa; Chordata; Mammalia; Eulipotyphla; Soricidae
Source: RefSeq, a predicted model, not a curated record
GUGCUUGCUUCAGCAGCACAUAUACUAAAACUGGAACGAUAAAAAAUUAGCAUAGUCCCUGUGCAAGGAUGACACGCAAAUUCGUGAAGCGUUCCAUAUUUAA